GGCCGCCUGGCGAAAUGGCAUCGCGUCUGACUACGAUAAAACAAGGCAGGUUGUUCUCGUAAUCAGGAGAUUGCAGGUUCGACCCCUGCGGUGGUCA
Molecule: non-coding RNA, 97 nt
Organism: Marasmius sp. AFHP31
Lineage: Eukaryota; Fungi; Basidiomycota; Agaricomycetes; Agaricales; Marasmiaceae
Source: the annotation of a GenBank genome assembly